GACAGAGGGGGCAAGCGUUGCUCGGAAUCACUGGGCGUAAAGGGCGUGUAGGCGGGCAGGAAAGUCAGAUGUGAAAUCCCCAGGCUCAACCUGGGAACUGCAUUUGAAACUCCCUUUCUUGAGUGUCGGAGAGGAAAGCGGAAUUCCUGGUGUAGAGGUGAAAUUCGUAGAUAUCAGGAGGAACACCAGCGGCGAAGGCGGCUUUCUGGACGAUAACUGACGCUGAGACGCGAAAGCGUGGGGAGCAAACAGG
Molecule: ribosomal RNA, 253 nt
Filed under: uncultured bacterium
Lineage: Bacteria
Description: partial 16S ribosomal RNA
Rfam family: Bacterial small subunit ribosomal RNA
Source: RNAcentral